UACAGAGGUCUCAAGCGUUGUUCGGAUUCAUUGGGCGUAAAGGGUGCGUAGGUGGCGCUGUAAGUCGGGUGUGAAAUUUCGGAGCUUAACUCCGAAACUGCAUUCGAUACUGCGGUGCUUGAGGACUGGAGAGGAGACUGGAAUUCAUGGUGUAGCAGUGAAAUGCGUAGAGAUCGUAAGGAAGACCAGUGGUGAAGGCGGGUCUCUGGACAGUUCCUGACACUGAGGCACGAAGGCCAGGGGAGCAAACGGG
RNAcentral lists this ribosomal RNA (253 nucleotides) under uncultured bacterium. Its description in RNAcentral is "partial 16S ribosomal RNA". It matches the Rfam family "Bacterial small subunit ribosomal RNA", at positions 524 to 776 of the family's 1533-position model. The record is from RNAcentral.